RNAcentral lists this ribosomal RNA (194 nucleotides) under Blastocystis sp. RNAcentral's name for it is "partial small subunit ribosomal RNA". It matches the Rfam family "Eukaryotic small subunit ribosomal RNA", at positions 562 to 763 of the family's 1831-position model. Lineage: Eukaryota; Bigyra; Opalinata; Blastocystidae. The record is from RNAcentral.
UGGUGCCAGCAGCCGCGGUAAUUCCAGCUCCAAUAGCGUAUAUUAACGUUGUUGCAGUUAAAAAGCUCGUAGUUGAAGUGUGGGUGAUCGCUAUUGUGAGACUUCGGUCUCUCGAUAGUAAGUCACCCCCUUCCAGUAUCCAGUAGUGGGUAUUCACUUACUUACUAUUGUGUGUUGGUCCUUUACUGUGAGAA